RNAcentral lists this ribosomal RNA (2793 nucleotides) under Salmonella enterica subsp. enterica serovar Ouakam. Its description in RNAcentral is "bacterial LSU rRNA". It matches the Rfam family "Bacterial large subunit ribosomal RNA". Lineage: Bacteria; Pseudomonadati; Pseudomonadota; Gammaproteobacteria; Enterobacterales; Enterobacteriaceae. The record is from RNAcentral.
GGGUUGUGAGGUUAAGCGACUAAGCGUACACGGUGGAUGCCCUGGCAGUCAGAGGCGAUGAAGGGCGUGCUAAUCUGCGAUAAGCGCCGGUAAGGUGAUAUGAACCGUUAUAACCGGCGAUACCCGAAUGGGGAAACCCAGUGUGACUCGUCACACUAUCAUUAACUGAAUCCAUAGGUUAAUGAGGCGAACCGGGGGAACUGAAACAUCUAAGUACCCCGAGGAAAAGAAAUCAACCGAGAUUCCCCCAGUAGCGGCGAGCGAACGGGGAGGAGCCCAGAGCCUGAAUCAGCAUGUGUGUUAGUGGAAGCGUCUGGAAAGGCGCGCGAUACAGGGUGACAGCCCCGUACACAAAAGCGCAUGUGCUGUGAGCUCGAUGAGUAGGGCGGGACACGUGGUAUCCUGUCUGAAUAUGGGGGGACCAUCCUCCAAGGCUAAAUACUCCUGACUGACCGAUAGUGAACCAGUACCGUGAGGGAAAGGCGAAAAGAACCCCGGCGAGGGGAGUGAAAAAGAACCUGAAACCGUGUACGUACAAGCAGUGGGAGCNNGUGACUGCGUACCUUUUGUAUAAUGGGUCAGCGACUUAUAUUCUGUAGCAAGGUUAACCGAAUAGGGGAGCCGGAGGGAAACCGAGUCUUAACCGGGCGUUAAGUUGCAGGGUAUAGACCCGAAACCCGGUGAUCUAGCCAUGGGCAGGUUGAAGGUUGGGUAACACUAACUGGAGGACCGAACCGACUAAUGUUGAAAAAUUAGCGGAUGACCUGUGGCUGGGGGUGAAAGGCCAAUCAAACCGGGAGAUAGCUGGUUCUCCCCGAAAGCUAUUUAGGUAGCGCCUCGUGAAUUCAUCUCCGGGGGUAGAGCACUGUUUCGGCUAGGGGGCCAUCCCGGCUUACCAACCCGAUGCAAACUGCGAAUACCGGAGAAUGUUAUCACGGGAGACACACGGCGGGUGCUAACGUCCGUCGUGAAGAGGGAAACAACCCAGACCGCCAGCUAAGGUCCCAAAGUCAUGGUUAAGUGGGAAACGAUGUGGGAAGGCCCAGACAGCCAGGAUGUUGGCUUAGAAGCAGCCAUCAUUUAAAGAAAGCGUAAUAGCUCACUGGUCGAGUCGGCCUGCGCGGAAGAUGUAACGGGGCUAAACCAUGCACCGAAGCUGCGGCAGNNGUUGGGUAGGGGAGCGUUCUGUAAGCCUGUGAAGGUGGCCUGUGAGGGUUGCUGGAGGUAUCAGAAGUGCGAAUGCUGACAUAAGUAACGAUAAAGCGGGUGAAAAGCCCGCUCGCCGGAAGACCAAGGGUUCCUGUCCAACGUUAAUCGGGGCAGGGUGAGUCGACCCCUAAGGCGAGGCCGAAAGGCGUAGUCGAUGGGAAACGGGUUAAUAUUCCCGUACUUGGUGUUACUGCGAAGGGGGGACGGAGAAGGCUAUGUUGGCCGGGCGACGGUUGUCCCGGUUUAAGCGUGUAGGUGUGUGUUCCAGGUAAAUCCGGUUCACUUUAACACUGAGGCGUGAUGACGAGGCACUACGGUGCUGAAGCAACAAAUGCCCUGCUUCCAGGAAAAGCCUCUAAGCAUCAGGUAACAUCAAAUCGUACCCCAAACCGACACAGGUGGUCAGGUAGAGAAUACCAAGGCGCUUGAGAGAACUCGGGUGAAGGAACUAGGCAAAAUGGUGCCGUAACUUCGGGAGAAGGCACGCUGACACGUAGGUGAAGUGAUUUACUCAUGGAGCUGAAGUCAGUCGAAGAUACCAGCUGGCUGCAACUGUUUAUUAAAAACACAGCACUGUGCAAACACGAAAGUGGACGUAUACGGUGUGACGCCUGCCCGGUGCCGGAAGGUUAAUUGAUGGGGUCAGCGCAAGCGAAGCUCCUGAUCGAAGCCCCGGUAAACGGCGGCCGUAACUAUAACGGUCCUAAGGUAGCGAAAUUCCUUGUCGGGUAAGUUCCGACCUGCACGAAUGGCGUAAUGAUGGCCAGGCUGUCUCCACCCGAGACUCAGUGAAAUUGAACUCGCUGUGAAGAUGCAGUGUACCCGCGGCAAGACGGAAAGACCCCGUGAACCUUUACUAUAGCUUGACACUGAACAUUGAGCCUUGAUGUGUAGGAUAGGUGGGAGGCUUUGAAGCGUGGACGCCAGUCUGCGUGGAGCCGACCUUGAAAUACCACCCUUUAAUGUUUGAUGUUCUAACGUGGACCCGUAAUCCGGGUUGCGGACAGUGUCUGGUGGGUAGUUUGACUGGGGCGGUCUCCUCCUAAAGAGUAACGGAGGAGCACGAAGGUUGGCUAAUCCUGGUCGGACAUCAGGAGGUUAGUGCAAUGGCAUAAGCCAGCUUGACUGCGAGCGUGACGGCGCGAGCAGGUGCGAAAGCAGGUCAUAGUGAUCCGGUGGUUCUGAAUGGAAGGGCCAUCGCUCAACGGAUAAAAGGUACUCCGGGGAUAACAGGCUGAUACCGCCCAAGAGUUCAUAUCGACGGCGGUGUUUGGCACCUCGAUGUCGGCUCAUCACAUCCUGGGGCUGAAGUAGGUCCCAAGGGUAUGGCUGUUCGCCAUUUAAAGUGGUACGCGAGCUGGGUUUAGAACGUCGUGAGACAGUUCGGUCCCUAUCUGCCGUGGGCGCUGGAGAACUGAGGGGGGCUGCUCCUAGUACGAGAGGACCGGAGUGGACGCAUCACUGGUGUUCGGGUUGUCAUGCCAAUGGCACUGCCCGGUAGCUAAAUGCGGAAGAGAUAAGUGCUGAAAGCAUCUAAGCACGAAACUUGCCCCGAGAUGAGUUCUCCCUGAGACUUACCUUACA